This 253-nucleotide ribosomal RNA is filed under the name uncultured bacterium. RNAcentral describes it as "partial 16S ribosomal RNA". It matches the Rfam family "Bacterial small subunit ribosomal RNA", at positions 524 to 776 of the family's 1533-position model. The record is from RNAcentral.
UACGUAGGUGGCAAGCGUUAUCCGGAUUUAUUGGGCGUAAAGAGAACGCAGGCGGUCUUUUAAGUCUGAUGUGAAAGCCUUCGGCUUAACCGGAGUAGUGCAUCGGAAACUGGGAGACUUGAGUGCAGAAGAGGAGAGUGGAACUCCAUGUGUAGCGGUGAAAUGCGUAGAUAUAUGGAAGAACACCAGUGGCGAAAGCGGCUCUCUGGUCUGUAACUGACGCUGAGGUUCGAAAGCGUGGGUAGCAAACAGG